This 507-nucleotide ribosomal RNA is filed under the name uncultured bacterium. RNAcentral's name for it is "bacterial SSU rRNA". It matches the Rfam family "Bacterial small subunit ribosomal RNA", at positions 21 to 518 of the family's 1533-position model. The record is from RNAcentral.
UGGUCAGAACGAACGCUGGCGGCGCGUCUAAGCAUGCAAGUCGAACGGCAAGAGGUAGCAAUACCUCCUAGAGUGGCGGACUGGUGAGUAACACGUGGGUGACAUACCCUUCAGAUGGGGAUAGCUAUUAGAAAUAGUAGAUAAUACCGAAUACGAGCACAGGGGUUAGAGAUCUGUGAGGAAAGGAGCUAAGGCUCCGCUGAAGGAAUGGCCUGCGGCCCAUUAGCUAGUUGGUGAGGUAAGAGCCCACCAAGGCGAUGAUGGGUAUCCGGCCUUAGAGGGUGAACGGACACAUUGGGACUGAGAUACGGCCCAGACUCCUACGGGAGGCAGCAGCUAAGAAUAUUCCGCAAUGGACGAAAGUCUGACGGAGCGACGCCGCGUGGAUGAAGAAGGCCGGAAGGUUGUAAAAUCCUUUUGAAACUGAAGAAUAAGCGUUGUAGGGAAUGACAGCGUGGUGACAGUAGGUUUUGAAUAAGCAACGGCUAAUUACGUGCCAGCAGCCGC